UUCUGCAAUGCGCCCUGCCCCCAACACUGCCAGUGCUUGCAAACUUAGAGGAUUUAAAUUCAUCACUAGUGUUUUGAAAUCCCAGGAUGUGUUCCUGAGACAGUCUUCGUUGUUUUAUUGUCCUGGGCAUUCUGCGUCCUUUCAGUCUGGAGAUUUUUAGCUUCCUUUGCUUCUGAGUCUCUAUUUGCAGUGCCCCGAUGCUAGAAACCUGAGAUCCCAUGGCUUCUCCAGAAUGGAGGCUUGGGCAUUGUCAGCACCCUCCUUCCAAGAGUUGAAAGUUCCUCUCUUCUGGAAGACAAACUGAUGUGAGGAUGAGGAGGAGUCAGAAAUAAACUCAUUCAACUAAUACUUGAGUAGCUACUGUUGCCUACAGUAUGUUCAAGGUUUUGCUAGUCAUCCAUAUGAUCACUAUUGACAGCUUGGGAGACUCACACAGGCUAGUGAAUUUCAGGAAUUAACAGAAACUGAACAGCUUCUAUAAUCCUGCAGGAAGUAACCUCUGGAUGGCACAAUGGAUAAAUCCAGCCUUAUUUUGCUACUCCAAAGUCAUCUGCACCUAUCACCUCAGAAUUCAUUCUUUUUUU
This 584-nucleotide long non-coding RNA is filed under the name Homo sapiens (human). RNAcentral describes it as "HSALNT0324516". The record is from RNAcentral. Lineage: Eukaryota; Metazoa; Chordata; Mammalia; Primates; Hominidae.